This is a long non-coding RNA of Pseudopipra pipra, 1698 nucleotides long. RefSeq lists it as uncharacterized. The record is from RefSeq and is a predicted model, not a curated record. The transcript has 3 exons. Lineage: Eukaryota; Metazoa; Chordata; Aves; Passeriformes; Pipridae.
AUUCCGUGUGUCCCUAAAAACAGGUGUUCUCCCACUGCCCCUGUUUGCUUCCUGCCAUCAUGAUACUAUGGGGUGACCUUAUUGUGGCCUUCCAGUACCUAAAGAAAGUGGGGAGGAGCCUUGGACAAGGGUAUGGAAUGACAGGACAAGGGGUGAUGUUUUAAACUAAAAGAGGGUUGAUUGAGACUAGAGAUAAGGAAGACAUUUUCUACUGUGAGGACAGUGAGGCCCUGGCACAGGUUGCCCAGAGAAGCUGUGGCUGCCCCUGGAUCCCUGGAAGUGUCCAAGGCCAGGCUGGAAGGGGCUCUGAGCAACCUGGGCUGGUGGAAGGUGUCCCUGCCCAUGGCAGAGGGUGGGACUGGAUGAGCUUUAAGGUCCCUCCCAAACCCAAACAAUUCUGUGAUUCUGUGAACACAAUGAAUCCUGCAGAAACGCAGGAUAAAUAGGGAUAUGCAGAUCGUGUUAAAUUCCUGCCAGUCACUGCAGGUCCAGGGACAGGAGGAACAGUAUAGUUUUCCCACUGGGAUUUGUUGACUCUGGAUUUAUUGCCCAGGCUCAGAGGGCAGGGAGGCACCACCUGGUUCUAUGGUGUAAUGGUCAGCACUCUGGACUUUGAAUCCAGCGAUCCGAGUUCAAAUCUCGGUAGAACCUGUCGGCAUUAUCCCGAUUUUUCCCUGUUCCAUGGGGUCACGUUGCAGCAGGGAUGGAACUGCCCGGGAGGGAACUCAAUGCCAAAGGCUUUCCUUGACCUGAUCCUUUAUCAUGCUGCUCCCACUUUUCUUCACUGGGAUGAACAGCUGUACAUUGGACAAAAAGGGCAGGACCUUAAAUAAUUGUUAUAACAUUUUAAUUGGAUGUUCCAUUAUAUUUCACUGAUGUUUUACACAAAGUCUUUUUUUGGGGGGAGGAAAAAAAGGCAUUUACACUGUGGAAAACUUGCCUUUCAGUAGGUAAAUGUGCUGAAUUUGGACAUUGUUCUUCAGCUGCACCCAAGUACUCGCUUGGAAAAGGGGGGCAGGAAUGCCGUGGGUUUAGAGCAGGGAUGAUGUCACAGGUGGAACUCUGCACAGUUUAAAUGGGUAUUCCCAGUGCUUUGCUGACACACACCCUCAGUGUUUGCUUUUCAGUUCCAGGGUUGCUCAGGACACCAGAACACCAUCUCCCCUCCUGCAAACCUCUCCUCACUAGUCACUGGUUUACACAGCAACAGGAACAUCCCUGCUCUGUGCCAGCAGCUCCUCUUCCUCUGGCCAGACUACAGGCGAGUUGUCAUUGAGGUCAAAGAAAUCAAGAAUUCCUUACCUUUACCAUAAUGAAAGCAAACAGAAACUAUCUUACUGCCCAUUUAAAGAAAAAUAAGCUGCUGGUUAUUUACAUAUACCCUGGAAAAAAUCACUAAAUCCUGGCUUGAGGACACCAGAUCCACGACCCACCAUCACACCAGGCCUGACAACCUCAGACAAGAGAGCACCAUCCUGCUUUGAGGUGCCCUGGGGAGGUAACAGUUACCACCUUUGCAAAGCUACUUCCCAAAAACCUCACCACCUAAAAGCUUUCCUAUGUCAACAGUAGGGUAGCACUUAAAGGCAUUACUUGCUUUUAGGGCCACUCUUGAUGUAUUUGGCCUCCAUCCCUCCAUGUAACAUUUAUCUCUGCGCCUGAAACAUUUACACUCUGAAUAAAAUGGAGAAAUAAGCA